Molecule: transfer-messenger RNA, 350 nt
Filed under: Spirochaetes bacterium ADurb.BinA120
Lineage: Bacteria; Pseudomonadati; Spirochaetota
Description: transfer-messenger RNA, SsrA
Rfam family: transfer-messenger RNA
About the family: Bacterial tmRNA, also known as 10Sa RNA or SsrA, is named for its dual tRNA and mRNA-like properties. Its role is to liberate the mRNA from a stalled ribosome.
Source: RNAcentral
GGGGACGAAUAUGGUUUCGACUGCAAUGAUGUGUCUGCAACUGCAUGCCGAGCGUCCGUCGUCUCGUAAAUCGCGGCGGGUUAAAGUUAAACGCAAACAACGAAUUAGCUCUCGCGGCUUAACACCCACGGGCGUCGCUGAUGGAUCUGCUCCUCUGGGGCUUUCAGCGGCGUAAGAUACAGAGGAUAGCUCCCGCGCCCGUUCCCGACGCAGGGGCGAAACAAAAGGGGACCCGGUCCCGAGUACGGCGCUCCUUCCCGGAAUCCGGACUUGAAUCAAAUGAAGGGGACAAGCAUGUAGACGUUGCAGGUGUGUGUUGCAGGACGCGGGUUCGAAUCCCGCCGUCUCCA